RNAcentral lists this ribosomal RNA (550 nucleotides) under Nocardiopsis sp. YIM 80175. RNAcentral's name for it is "bacterial SSU rRNA". It matches the Rfam family "Bacterial small subunit ribosomal RNA", at positions 33 to 586 of the family's 1533-position model. Lineage: Bacteria; Bacillati; Actinomycetota; Actinomycetes; Streptosporangiales; Nocardiopsidaceae. The record is from RNAcentral.
ACGCUGGCGGCGUGCUUAACACAUGCAAGUCGAGCGGUAAGGCCCUUCGGGGUACACGAGCGGCGAACGGGUGAGUAACACGUGAGCAACCUGCCCCUGACUCCGGGAUAAGCGGUGGAAACGCCGUCUAAUACCGGAUANGACACACCAUCUCCUGGUGGUGUGUGGAAAGUUGUAUCGGUCAGGGAUGGGCUCGCGGCCUAUCAGCUAGUUGGUGGGGUAAAGGCCUACCAAGGCGAUUACGGGUAGCCGGCCUGAGAGGGCGACCGGCCACACUGGGACUGAGACACGGCCCAGACUCCUGCGGGAGGCAGCAGUGGGGAAUAUUGCACAAUGGGCGAAAGCCUGAUGCAGCGACGCCGCGUGGGGGAUGACGGCCUUCGGGUUGUAAACCUCUUUUACCACCAACGCAGGCCCCGGGUUCUCUCGGGGUUGACGGUAGGUGGGGAAUAAGGACCGGCUAACUACGUGCCAGCAGCCGCGGUAAUACGUAGGGUCCGAGCGUUGUCCGGAAUUAUUGGGCGUAAAGAGCUCGUAGGCGGCGUGUCGC